AACGAACGCUGGCGGCAGGCUUAACACAUGCAAGUCGAACGAGAUCUUCGGAUCUAGUGGCAGACGGGUGAGGAACACGUGGGAACAUCCCUUUCAGUUCGGAAUAACGUCGGGAAACUAACGCUAAUACCGGAUACGUCCUUCGGGAGAAAGAUUUAUCGCUGAAAGAUUGGCCCGCGUCUGAUUAGCUAGUUGGUGAGGUAAUGGCUCACCAAGGCUACGAUCAGUAGCUGAUCUGAGAGGAUGAUCAGCCACAUUGGGACUGAGACACGGCCCAAACUCCUACGGGAGGCAGCAGUGGGGAAUAUUGGACAAUGGGCGCAAGCCUGAUCCAGCCAUGCCGCGUGAGUGAUGAAGGCCUUCGGGUUGUAAAGCUCUUUUAUCCGGGAAGAUAAUGACUGUACCGGAAGAAUAAGCCCCGGCAAACUUCGUGCCAGCAGCCGCGGUAA
RNAcentral lists this ribosomal RNA (449 nucleotides) under uncultured bacterium. RNAcentral's name for it is "partial 16S ribosomal RNA". It matches the Rfam family "Bacterial small subunit ribosomal RNA", at positions 29 to 523 of the family's 1533-position model. The record is from RNAcentral.